CCCUUAGAUGUUCGGGGCUGCACACGCGCUACACUGGAGGAAACAGCGUGUAUUGUCCUGGUCCGAAAGGACUGGGUAAACCUGUGAAACUUCUCCGUGCUUGGGAUAGCGGAUUGAAAUUGUUUCGCUUCAACGAGGAAUUCCUAGUAAGCGUAAGUCAUAAGCUUGCGCUGAUUACGUCCCUGCCCUUUGUACACACCGCCCGUCGCUCCUACCGAUUGGGUGUGCUGGUGAAAUGUUCGGAUCGGCCGUUUGUCGCGGUUUCCGCGUCAUGUGGCUGAGAAGUUCAUUAAACCCUCCCACCUAGAGGAAGGAGAAGUCGUAACA
This 327-nucleotide ribosomal RNA is filed under the name uncultured eukaryote. RNAcentral's name for it is "partial 18S ribosomal RNA". It matches the Rfam family "Eukaryotic small subunit ribosomal RNA", at positions 1470 to 1796 of the family's 1831-position model. The record is from RNAcentral.